RNAcentral lists this non-coding RNA (165 nucleotides) under bovine gut metagenome. RNAcentral describes it as "Lysine riboswitch". It matches the Rfam family "Lysine riboswitch aptamer". From Rfam's summary of the family: Riboswitches are metabolite binding domains within certain messenger RNAs that serve as precision sensors for their corresponding targets. Allosteric rearrangement of mRNA structure is mediated by ligand binding, and this results in modulation of gene expression. The record is from RNAcentral.
CGGAUAGAGGUGCGGUGCUGCGUGUAACAUAGCUGAGGCUGCCAAAGCUUAUGAAACUGUGUGAAUGGCUGUUCCGCCGAGGGAUGCGCUUUGGCAGGGCUUGUCCCGGGUAUAUGCCGCAACGGUAUAUAACUGUCAUCAUAAUGCUGUGAUGGGGAGCUAUCG